RNAcentral lists this transfer RNA (71 nucleotides) under Cavia porcellus (domestic guinea pig). It matches the Rfam family "tRNA". From Rfam's summary of the family: Transfer RNA (tRNA) molecules are approximately 80 nucleotides in length. Their secondary structure includes four short double-helical elements and three loops (D, anti-codon, and T loops). Lineage: Eukaryota; Metazoa; Chordata; Mammalia; Rodentia; Caviidae. The record is from Rfam by way of RNAcentral.
GGGGAUUUAGCUUAGCGGCAUAAGCACCUGCCUUGCAAGCAGGCGGUCGUGAGUUCAAACUCCAAUCCCAA